AACUUGUAUGCAGUCACGUGAAAUAUGGAGUGGUGUCACCUAUGCUGUCGCAGCUACCAUGAUUCAUGCUGGAAUGGAGGACCAGGCAUUCACUACUGCUGAAGGUAUUUUCCUUGCAGGCUGGUCGGAGGAGGGCUACGGAUACUGGUUCCAGACACCAGAGGCAUGGACAACUGAUGGACACUUCCGUUCCCUUAUUUACAUGAGGCCACUUGCAAUCUGGGGUAUGCAAUGGGCAUUAUCGCUGCCUAAGGCUAUCCUUGAGGCCCCAAAGAUCAAUAUAAUGGACAGACUUCUCUUGUCUCCUAGCACAAGAUUUGCUCUUUAUGAAACAGGAGUUAGAAAGAUUGCAACUAAAGCCAAGUGCUUUGGAGCUUCUGUGUUCCACUGUGCGUGCUAAUUAUGAAAUAUAAGUUCCCUCAUCUCUUUAAAGAAAAAUGUUCACUGAAUUUUUUAUAGCUUCCCAAACUCUCUACCAUAUGAAGAAAGCUGGGAGAGAUUCUGGGAGAAGUCUCUUUCUUAAGAGGGGCAAUAAAAAGCCAGGCUGUAAUUUAGUAGUCAAUUUAAUUACAUGGCAUUGAUGGG
RNAcentral lists this unclassified non-coding RNA (585 nucleotides) under Hevea brasiliensis (rubber tree). The record is from RNAcentral. Lineage: Eukaryota; Viridiplantae; Streptophyta; Magnoliopsida; Malpighiales; Euphorbiaceae.